Molecule: ribosomal RNA, 253 nt
Filed under: uncultured bacterium
Lineage: Bacteria
Description: partial 16S ribosomal RNA
Rfam family: Bacterial small subunit ribosomal RNA
Source: RNAcentral
GACGGAGGAUGCAAGCGUUAUCCGGAAUGAUUGGGCGUAAAGCGUCCGCAGGUGGCAGUUCAAGUCUGCUGUCAAAGACCGGGGCUCAACCUCGGAAAGGCAGUGGAAACUGAACAGCUAGAGUAUGGUAGGGGCAAAGGGAAUUCCUGGUGUAGCGGUGAAAUGCGCAGAGAUCAGGAAGAACAUCGGUGGCGAAGGCGCUUUGCUGGACCAUAACUGACACUCAGGGACGAAAGCUAGGGGAGCGAAUGGG